GCGACCUCAGGUCANGCGGGGCCACCCGCUGAUUUAAAACAUAAA
RNAcentral lists this ribosomal RNA (45 nucleotides) under Astrocaryum chambira. Its description in RNAcentral is "partial 26S ribosomal RNA". Lineage: Eukaryota; Viridiplantae; Streptophyta; Magnoliopsida; Arecales; Arecaceae. The record is from RNAcentral.